Molecule: ribosomal RNA, 450 nt
Filed under: uncultured bacterium
Lineage: Bacteria
Description: partial 16S ribosomal RNA
Rfam family: Bacterial small subunit ribosomal RNA
Source: RNAcentral
UGGGGAAUUUUGGACAAUGGGCGAAAGCCUGAUCCAGCAAUGCCGCGUGUGUGAAGAAGGCCUUCGGGUUGUAAAGCACUUUUGUCCGGAAAGAAAUCCUUGGCUCUAAUACAGUCGGGGGAUGACGGUACCGGAAGAAUAAGCACCGGCUAACUACGUGCCAGCAGCCGCGGUAAUACGUAGGGUGCAAGCGUUAAUCGGAAUUACUGGGCGUAAAGCGUGCGCAGGCGGUUUGCUAAGACCGAUGUGAAAUCCCCGGGCUCAACCUGGGAACUGCAUUGGUGACUGGCAGGCUAGAGUAUGGCAGAGGGGGGUAGAAUUCCACGUGUAGCAGUGAAANUGCGUAGAGAUGUGGAGGAAUACCGAUGGCGAAGGCAGCCCCCUGGGCCAAUACUGACGCUCAUGCACGAAAAGCGUGGGGAGCAAAACAGGAUUAGAUACCCUGGUAGU